Molecule: long non-coding RNA, 587 nt
Filed under: Phoenix dactylifera (date palm)
Lineage: Eukaryota; Viridiplantae; Streptophyta; Magnoliopsida; Arecales; Arecaceae
Description: long non-coding RNA (PDAC_LNC003521)
Source: RNAcentral
UUGAGGUAGUCCAUGAUCAUGUCCAUCUAGUUGGGCUUGAGCUUGGCUUGCAACAUAUAAAUUGGUUCUCCUCAAUGCUCGGGUGAUCGAACACGUCAAGGUAGGUGGCUUGAUGGAGGUCGGAGUAGUCUGAGGUAGCCAACAUCGACAACGGUUAGCCCAUGCAUUUUCUAACCUUGGGAUUUGCAAAAUCUCAACCGCUUUGAAGGCCGAGGAGGCUUCUCGAACUUUCUGCAAGUAUCUUUCCAUAAUCAAAGACCUUGCUCAAAAAUCUCUUCAAACCUAUCCCACUACUAGUCGGUAAUCAGUGAAGACCUUCAAGUGUUGGACCCGAGGUUGAUAACAUAUGUCAAAUUCAGUGAGCAUCACCACCCAUUUAGCCAACCUCCCUGAUGAACCCAUCUGCUGUAGGAUUUGUCUCAGCAGUUGGUCGGACAGGACGAUGAGUGGAUGAGCUUGAAAAUAUGGGCAAAGCUUCGUUGUUGAGAUGACAAGUGCAUACGCUACUUUCUCCAAUUAGGGAUAUUGAGUCUCCAUGUCUCGAAGGACUUGGCUCUUAUAAUAUCUAGGAUUCUAAACACCGGCCU